UAACUGAGUGUUUUUCAUAUUUCUAGUGCUGUCUUUGUGGUUGCAGGCCUUUUUGCUAGUUGUUUGCAUGAUUUGGAUCACUGAUUAGACCUAAUAGAACCUUGCACUAGAAUGUAUCUUCUAAUUAUUCUUGUGUGAGGAAAUGGGCUUUUUAGUCUUUCCUGGGUUAUCAUUUGUUCCUUCCACCACAAUUACUCAUUUCAGAACUGUAAGUAAUAUGUCUGUCAAUUUAAGCCUCAUUAUGGGGAAUAUGAGGGAUUUAAUAGGAGGUUCAUCACUCUGAGAAUGCCCCAGGGUAGGGAUUUUUCUCCAACAAGCCUAUAGGAAGACUUCGCUAGUUUGACCAAGCAUUUUAUACCUUGCCAGCGAAUUGGAUCACAACAGGUUGCUCAUGAGUUUUUGCUUACAUGUGUAGUAGGAGACUAGGAGCUCAAGUAGGUACAAGGUUGAGCUUUAAGCUAUGUAUAAUUAUAGACCUCUAGCAGUAAAAAUUGAUUACAUAAGAAGAUUAUUAGAAA
Molecule: long non-coding RNA, 518 nt
Organism: Amphimedon queenslandica
Lineage: Eukaryota; Metazoa; Porifera; Demospongiae; Haplosclerida; Niphatidae
Exons: 3
Source: RefSeq, a predicted model, not a curated record